GGCGGACAUUCGCGCCGCGUUAACCAAUCAGGAGCUUUCUCUAGUAGUGACGUGAUUACAGGAAGCCAGCAGACGGUGGAGGCAGAAAUGCAAAACAAUGGAGAUCAAUCGUCGUGAGACAUCUUCGUACUUUUUACCGAAACAGGAAUUUAAAAGAUCUUGGUUGGAAGAAAGUGAGUGAGGAGGAUCGAACAAUCUGCCGACUGGUUCUUUUGAUGGUGGUGAGCCUGUGUCCCCUAUGAACCUGCUGCUGCUUCUGCUUCCCAUGCCGACCCAUCAACAUCUGCAGCUGUCCCCGCAGCGCCACCAAGAUGAAGAGCUCAGAGAAGGCCUAGAUAGCAGCCAUCAGUGGUGAAGUGGCAGCCUCCUAGAAGCACUCCGGAGUCCGGACCAGUCCUGUAGAUCCAGCACCGCCUCCACGCUCAGAGGAUGAGCUCUUCCUCUUGAGUCUGGUCCCUUACCUGCAGAGGUUGCUACCUCAGAUGAAAAAAAUUGUUAAAUUUAAAGUUCACAAAUUAAUUUAUUAAAGCAGCACAGUUGUGCUUAAUGUGGAGCCUACAAUGUAGUUUUAAAAAAGAGGCAGCAAUCUCUGCAGGUAAUGAACCAGACUUUCUCUCCUCUCCUUCACUUUGGCUCUCCCCCUUCCAAGCAAGAUCCUUUCUUAUUCCUCUAUGUAAAUAGUUGUAAAGGUUCUUUGUAUAUAUUGAUGUAUUUUGUAUAAAUAAAUGGUCUAUACAGUCACCAAAGGUUUUGGUAUUUUACUUUGCGCACAACAUAGUAAAUCACAGUUUAGACUUUGUUUAGACAUCAACAGAAGCUGGUGGUGAUUGUACGGGAGGAGUCUCCAGUGGUAAGAUAUCUGAAAGAGAGAAAAUAAAAUAAACAUUGUCAUAAAUGCAGAUUGCAAUUCCAUAUUAGCAAAUAUAAAAUUAUAAAACUGGU
Paramisgurnus dabryanus is the source of this 942-nucleotide long non-coding RNA. RefSeq lists it as uncharacterized. Lineage: Eukaryota; Metazoa; Chordata; Actinopteri; Cypriniformes; Cobitidae. The record is from RefSeq and is a predicted model, not a curated record.